Molecule: non-coding RNA, 28 nt
Filed under: Mus musculus (house mouse)
Lineage: Eukaryota; Metazoa; Chordata; Mammalia; Rodentia; Muridae
Source: RNAcentral
UAGGCAAAGCCUUGGGUGGACUCUGUGC